Molecule: ribosomal RNA, 496 nt
Filed under: uncultured bacterium
Lineage: Bacteria
Description: partial 16S ribosomal RNA
Rfam family: Bacterial small subunit ribosomal RNA
Source: RNAcentral
GACGAACGCUGGCGGCGUGCCUAAUACAUGCAAGUUGAGCGCUGAAGGUUGGUACUUGUACCAACUGGAUGAGCAGCGAACGGGUGAGUAACGCGUGGGGAAUCUGCCUUUGAGCGGGGGACAACAUUUGGAAACGAAUGCUAAUACCGCAUAAAAACUUUAAACACAAGUUUUAAGUUUGAAAGAUGCAACUGCAUCACUCAAAGAUGAUCCCGCGUUGUAUUAGCUAGUUGGUGAGGUAAAGGCUCACCAAGGCGAUGAUACAUAGCCGACCUGAGAGGGUGACCGCCCACAUUGGGGCGGAGACCCGCCCCAACCCCCUACGGGGGGCAGCAGUGGGGAAUUUUCGGAAAUGGGGGAAAGUUUAACCGAGCAACGCCGCGUGGGUGAAAAGGGUUUUGGGAUCGUAAAACUGUGUUGGGAGGAAAGAACGUGGGGGGGAGGGAAAAGCCAUUCAGGGGCGGGAACCACCCCAAAAAGGGCCGCCAACCUCCGG